RNAcentral lists this ribosomal RNA (460 nucleotides) under uncultured bacterium. RNAcentral's name for it is "partial 16S ribosomal RNA". It matches the Rfam family "Bacterial small subunit ribosomal RNA", at positions 338 to 795 of the family's 1533-position model. The record is from RNAcentral.
CCUACGGGAGGCAGCAGUGAGGAAUAUUGGUCAAUGGACGAGAGUCUGAACCAGCCAAGUAGCGUGAAGGAUGACUGCCCUCUGGGUUGUAACCUUCUUUUAUAUGGGAAUAAAAUGUUCCACGUGUGGGAUUUUGUAUGUACCAUAUGAAUAAGGAUCGGCUAACUCCGUGCCAGCAGCCGCGGUAAUACGGAGGAUCCGAUCGUUAUCCGGAUGUAUGGGGUGUAAAGGGAGCGUAGGUGGAAUGUUAAGUCAGUUGUGAAAGUUUGCGGCUCAACCGUAAAAUUGCAGUUGAAACUGGCAGACUUGAGUAUAGUAGAGGAUGGCGGAAUUCGUGGUGUAGCAGUGAAAUGCUUAGAUAUCACGAAGAACUCCGAUGGCGAAGGCAGUUCACUGGACUGCAACUGACACUGAGGCUCGAAAGUGUGGGUAUCAAACAGGAUUAGAUACCCCGGUAGUC